CCGAUACAAUGAUGAGAACAUAGUUCAGCAGACUGACGGUGGUGAUCAGCAUUGUCUUUCGCUCCUAUCUGACGUAUCUG
RNAcentral lists this small nucleolar RNA (80 nucleotides) under Suricata suricatta (meerkat). RNAcentral describes it as "Small nucleolar RNA snR60/Z15/Z230/Z193/J17 (ENSSSUG00005015222.1)". It matches the Rfam family "Small nucleolar RNA snR60/Z15/Z230/Z193/J17". Rfam says of the family: The members of this family belong to the C/D class of snoRNAs which contain the C (UGAUGA) and D (CUGA) box motifs. Lineage: Eukaryota; Metazoa; Chordata; Mammalia; Carnivora; Herpestidae. The record is from Rfam by way of RNAcentral.